Long non-coding RNA from Melanotaenia boesemani (Boeseman's rainbowfish), 93 nucleotides. RefSeq lists it as uncharacterized. The record is from RefSeq and is a predicted model, not a curated record. Lineage: Eukaryota; Metazoa; Chordata; Actinopteri; Atheriniformes; Melanotaeniidae. The transcript has 3 exons.
AUGUGUCAUUGUCUAAGGUUCUGCAAGCUGUAAAAUGUAUAACAAAUACAAUAUUUUCUUUUUGUUUUGUUUUAUUGUGUUUGCAUGUCGGGU